UACGUAGGCAGCGAGCGUUGUUCGGAGUUACUGGGCGUAAAGGGUGUGUAGGCGGUUGUUUAAGUUUGGUGUGAAAUCUCCCGGCUCAACUGGGAGGGUGCGCCGAAUACUGAGCGACUAGAGUGCGGGAGAGGAAAGUGGAAUUCCUGGUGUAGCGGUGAAAUGCGUAGAUAUCAGGAGGAACACCAGCGGUGUAGACGGCUUUCUGGACCAUUGCUGACGCUGAGACACGAAAGCGUGGGUAGCAAACAGG
RNAcentral lists this ribosomal RNA (253 nucleotides) under uncultured bacterium. RNAcentral's name for it is "partial 16S ribosomal RNA". It matches the Rfam family "Bacterial small subunit ribosomal RNA", at positions 524 to 776 of the family's 1533-position model. The record is from RNAcentral.